AGUGAGAGUAGAGGAGCAAUGCACAUCAGUAUGUCCGUUGAGGAUGUUGAAAUCCUGCGAUUCGGAAUGAAAGGGUGUAUUGCCGAAGUGGAUCUGCAUUCAACUGUUUGUCCACUGGAUCUGAUUCCGAACAGGACCAGAACUGUCGUACAGCCAUAUGGCUGUAUGGGGAGCUAUCUCACGC
RNAcentral lists this non-coding RNA (184 nucleotides) under Salisediminibacterium selenitireducens. Its description in RNAcentral is "Bacillus selenitireducens Lysine sequence". It matches the Rfam family "Lysine riboswitch aptamer". From Rfam's summary of the family: Riboswitches are metabolite binding domains within certain messenger RNAs that serve as precision sensors for their corresponding targets. Allosteric rearrangement of mRNA structure is mediated by ligand binding, and this results in modulation of gene expression. Lineage: Bacteria; Bacillati; Bacillota; Bacilli; Caryophanales; Bacillaceae. The record is from RNAcentral.